GGGGGGGGAGCGAGCGUUGUUCGGAAUUACUGGGCGUAAAGGGCGCGUAGGCGGGCUGGGGUCAGUCGCGUGUGAAAGGGCCGGGGGCUCAACCCCGAGCAUUGCACGUGAUACUGCCCCCGGCUCGAGAGAGGUAGGGGCGAGUGGAAUUCCCGGUGUAGCGGUGGAAUGCGUAGAUAUCGGGAAGAACACCUGUGGCGAAGGCGGCUCGCUGGACCUUUUCUGACGCUGAAGCGCGAAAGCGUGGGGAGCAAACAGGAUUAGAUACCCUGGUAGUCCACGCCGUAAACGAUGGGUACUAGGUGUUGGGAGGAUUGACCCUUUCAGUGCCGGCGCUAACGCAUUAAGUACCCCGCCUGGGGAGUACGGUCGCAAAGGCUG
RNAcentral lists this ribosomal RNA (381 nucleotides) under uncultured organism. RNAcentral's name for it is "partial 16S ribosomal RNA". It matches the Rfam family "Bacterial small subunit ribosomal RNA", at positions 525 to 896 of the family's 1533-position model. The record is from RNAcentral.